ACCUGGUUGACUCAGUGGUUGAGCGUCUGCCUUCGGCUCAGAUCAUGAUCACAGGGUCCUGGGAUCGAGUCCCACAUCAGGUU
This 83-nucleotide transfer RNA is filed under the name Canis lupus familiaris (dog). It matches the Rfam family "tRNA". From Rfam's summary of the family: Transfer RNA (tRNA) molecules are approximately 80 nucleotides in length. Their secondary structure includes four short double-helical elements and three loops (D, anti-codon, and T loops). The record is from Rfam by way of RNAcentral. Lineage: Eukaryota; Metazoa; Chordata; Mammalia; Carnivora; Canidae. RNAcentral also lists the same sequence under 2 other names.